UUCUAGAUGUCAAUGACAACGCCCCAGAAUUUGCUGAGUUCUAUGAAACUUUUGUCUGUGAAAAAGCAAAGGCAGAUCAGUUGAUUCAGACCCUGCAUGCUGUUGACAAGGACGACCCUUAUAGUGGGCACCAAUUUUCAUUUUCCUUGGCCCCUGAAGCAGCCAGUGGCUCAAACUUUACCAUUCAAGACAACAAAGACAACACGGCGGGAAUCUUAACUCGGAAAAAUGGCUAUAAUAGACACGAGAUGAGCACCUAUCUCUUACCUGUGGUCAUUUCAGACAACGACUACCCAGUUCAAAGCAGCACUGGGACAGUGACUGUCCGGGUCUGUGCAUGUGACCACCACGGGAACAUGCAAUCCUGCCAUGCGGAGGCGCUCAUCCACCCCACGGGACUGAGCACGGGGGCUCUGGUUGCCAUCCUUCUGUGCAUCGUGAUCCUACUAGGUAAACUGGUUCUCCCUGCCUCCUAUCUCCCCAUGGUGAGGGGCUCACACUGUUACUGUGACACUCUAGAUUUAUCUGCUUCCCCCAUUAAGGCAUACAGCCUGAUCUAGGUGAGUCGAGUUACAUACUGAGAAUCUGUGCUGUACGAUGUGAACUCAUUUUUGCUUGCAAAUGGCUUUGGAAAAUGAACAGAUGUGAAACUUGCCCGUGUCUUUGCUUGCCCAGGAAGCAAAGAAUCUCUUGUCUAUCAGACUGGGAAUGAAUCUCGGGGGAUUUCAGGGCAACAUAAAUGUGCCCUUUUCAUUUCAUUUGUUGUGUAAUUUUUUUACUUGGAAAACGUUGUUAAGUGUCUGGCAUGGAGUGUAUGAUGAGGGCCCUUUCUAUAAAGGUAAAGUUUAAAGAUCUGUGGGAAAGUGGGAAGAGGAGUAUGAUGACUUUUCUCUCAUCCUAGAAAAAUAAAAACUAUGAAAUUUUUUUAAUCCAGCAAACUAAUGUUGAUUUACCAUUUGAAUGAUUACCUUCUUAGCAUUGCUCUCUGAUUGCCACAUGCAUAAGGUCUAUUUCUCACACUCAACAAUAAAUAACUUCUGUGAUUGAGGAAAUAAGUAUGGGGGCCCAAAAGAAAUGAAUGUAAGAAAAAUGGAAAUCAGGGUCUAACAAUGAUUCAAAUGAAAUUUUUACCCCUAACCAACUAAUUAAGCCUACAAGUCGAGCGCAGAUUUCUCAACAGGCCCUUGACUGUUUGUGAACUAAGAAAUCAAAUAUUUGUUAAUGCAGCCCUUCCAAAAAUGAAAGCAAGAUUUGUAAAGCUUACCUAUAUAGUGAAAAGAAAAGGUAAGAAGUUAAGAGUCAACCUGAAUUAUACAGGGGGAAAUACUCUUUUUUAAAAAAUGAAGACAGAGUGACUUUGAGAAGAGUGAAAGAGAACCUGCAUUUCUCCAAGAACAGAAUGCCUAGGGAUCCCUGCUCGAGUGCUCCUUCACACUUCACAUCAACCCUUCUAAUUAUAACAGAAGCCUUGAAACUCAACUACAGAACUGUGAUUCUCUUUGUCAACUAAGACUUGGGGAAGGUAUUUUAAGAUAUGAGCAUAAAUAAAAACGGACAGUGUGCAAAGACAAA
This 1572-nucleotide small RNA is filed under the name Pongo abelii (Sumatran orangutan). RNAcentral describes it as "retained intron". The record is from RNAcentral. Lineage: Eukaryota; Metazoa; Chordata; Mammalia; Primates; Hominidae.